Mus caroli (Ryukyu mouse) is the source of this 471-nucleotide non-coding RNA. The record is from RefSeq and is a predicted model, not a curated record. NCBI's taxonomy places the organism in Eukaryota, Metazoa, Chordata, Mammalia, Rodentia, Muridae.
AGGUCGUUUUAAAAUACCAAGAAUAUUUGCUGUCAGAUGAAACUCUGAAGAAAACAGCAAAAUGUAGUACCCUUAGAGGAUGGCCUUAGCACAGGCAGUCUACCUGUCUGGCAGUGAAACAAACUUCAGAAUACAGAAACAACAGAAGAAAGACACCCACGCAUCAGCUGCAAUUGCCACCAUAAUGGGCAAAUGUAUGAUGAAGAGUUUGGAAAAAUGGAAUACACAGUGGAAAGAUGGAAGAGAAAGCAAGGCCAAGGAGUUUGUACACUGUGGAGAAAGGUAGAACUGGAAACUUGAUGGCAAUGAGGAACAGGAAGAUAUGAGGAGGACAUGGUAAGGUCUGUGCCUGGCCUAUCACCAAGGACACUCUCUGGAUCCAUGAUCAUGCUACACUGGGGAUCUGGGUUGAUGCCCAUGGCCCAGGUUACCACCAAAGGCCAAGCAAAUCACCAUGUUCUAGGAAGCUCC